RNAcentral lists this ribosomal RNA (473 nucleotides) under uncultured bacterium. Its description in RNAcentral is "bacterial SSU rRNA". It matches the Rfam family "Bacterial small subunit ribosomal RNA", at positions 19 to 518 of the family's 1533-position model. The record is from RNAcentral.
AUGGCUCAGGAUUAACGCUGGCGGCGUGCCUAAUACAUGCAAGUCGAAUGGUAGCAAUACCAUGGCGAACGGGUGAGUAACACGUAGGUAACCUGUCCUUAAGACGAGGAUAACCGUUGGAAACGACGGAUAAUACUGGAUAGGAGGAAUUGAGGCAUCUUAAUUUCUUUAAAGAUUUAUCACUUGAGGAGGGGCCUGCGGCGCAUUAGCUAGAUGGCGGGGUAAUAGCCCACCAUGGCAAUGAUGCGUAGCCGGACUGAGAGGUUGAACGGCCACAAUGGAACUGAGAACGGUCCAUACUCCUACGGGAGGCAGCAGUAGGGAAUUUUCGGCAAUGGGCGAAAGCCUGACCGAGCAACGCCGCGUGAACGAAGAAGUAUUUCGGUAUGUAAAGUUCUUUUAUUAGGGAAGAAAAGAUCAGGAUUGACGGUACCUAAUGAAUAAGCUCCGGCUAACUACGUGCCAGCCGCCGC